RNAcentral lists this ribosomal RNA (161 nucleotides) under Rheum tanguticum. Its description in RNAcentral is "5.8S ribosomal RNA". It matches the Rfam family "5.8S ribosomal RNA". From Rfam's summary of the family: 5.8S ribosomal RNA (5.8S rRNA) is a component of the large subunit of the eukaryotic ribosome. It is transcribed by RNA polymerase I as part of the 45S precursor that also contains 18S and 28S rRNA. Functionally, it is thought that 5.8S rRNA may be involved in ribosome translocation. Lineage: Eukaryota; Viridiplantae; Streptophyta; Magnoliopsida; Caryophyllales; Polygonaceae. The record is from RNAcentral.
AUAACGACUCUAGGAAACAGAUAUCUUGGCUCUCGCAUCGAUGAAGAAUGUAGCGAAAUGCGAUACUUGGUGUGAAUUGCAGAAUCUUGUGAACCAUCGAGUCUGUGAACGCAAGUUGCCCCUGAAAACUUCUGGCCGAGGGCACGUCUGUCUGGGCAUCA